This 472-nucleotide ribosomal RNA is filed under the name Staphylococcus xylosus. RNAcentral describes it as "bacterial SSU rRNA". It matches the Rfam family "Bacterial small subunit ribosomal RNA", at positions 59 to 513 of the family's 1533-position model. Lineage: Bacteria; Bacillati; Bacillota; Bacilli; Caryophanales; Staphylococcaceae. The record is from RNAcentral.
CAGUCGAGCGAACAGAUAAGGAGCUUGCUCCUUUGAAGUUAGCGGCGGACGGGUGAGUAACACGUGGGUAACCUACCUAUAAGACUGGGAUAACUUCGGGAAACCGGAGCUAAUACCGGAUAACAUUUAGAACCGCAUGGUUCUAAAGUGAAAGAUGGUUUUGCUAUCACUUAUAGAUGGACCCGCGCCGUAUUAGCUAGUUGGUAAGGUAACGGCUUACCAAGGCGACGAUACGUAGCCGACCUGAGAGGGUGAUCGGCCACACUGGAACUGAGACACGGUCCAGACUCCUACGGGAGGCAGCAGUAGGGAAUCUUCCGCAAUGGGCGAAAGCCUGACGGAGCAACGCCGCGUGAGUGAUGAAGGGUUUCGGCUCGUAAAACUCUGUUAUUAGGGAAGAACAAAUGUGUAAGUAACUGUGCACAUCUUGACGGUACCUAAUCAGAAAGCCACGGCUAACUACGUGCCAGCA